RNAcentral lists this ribosomal RNA (274 nucleotides) under uncultured bacterium. Its description in RNAcentral is "partial 16S ribosomal RNA". It matches the Rfam family "Bacterial small subunit ribosomal RNA", at positions 523 to 796 of the family's 1533-position model. The record is from RNAcentral.
AUACGGAGGGUGUGAACGUUGCUCGGAAUCACUGGGCGUAAAGAGCUCGUAGGCGGUUUAUCAAGUUAGGUGUGAAAUCCCCGGGCUUAACCUGGGAAGUGCACUUAAAACUGGUAGGCUAGAGUUUGGGAGAGGAUAGCGGAAUUCCCGGUGUAGAGGUGAAAUUCGUAGAUAUCGGGAGGAACACCAGAGGCGAAGGCGGCUUACUGGACCAAUACUGACACUGAGACUCGAAAGCGUGGGUAGCAAACAGGAUUAGAAACCCGAGUAGUCC